Molecule: ribosomal RNA, 1905 nt
Filed under: Triticum aestivum (bread wheat)
Lineage: Eukaryota; Viridiplantae; Streptophyta; Magnoliopsida; Poales; Poaceae
Description: partial small subunit ribosomal RNA
Source: RNAcentral
AUGGAAGGAUCGUACGAGUGCGGUUGUCCAUCAGGGACACAUCGUGACAACGCAACUGGUGGAUGCAUCACUCCUGCCACAGGUAGCUGCAAUAGGUCCUGCGGAGACGUGCAGGUGCCGUACCCGUUUGGCUUUGGGCCAUCCUACUACUGGCCAGGCUUCAACCUCACCUGCGACUAUACAAUGAGCAACAACGAGCCCCCACGUCUUCUUCUCGAUGACUAUGGCGCCUUUCGAGUCGUCGACAUCUCCCUUCAAAACACCACGGUGCGCAUCGUUGGCACCGGUGCCCUUGUUAGUGUCACCACCAAACAUGAUGGCGGCUUCAGUUUUGAUGAAGUUUUCACGGCAAAUAGAGAGACACCGUACUCACUAUCCACCUGCAAUGAGCUCAUCCUAACAGGGUGCAAUGUGAAGGCAAAGCGGACCGCCGGGGAUGAUGCCAACCCGGGCAUCAUUAGCGGGUGCUCCUCAUUUUGCUCCUUCAACGACACAGGCGGCGCCACUAACGUGAGCACUGGAGGAGAAAACAAGUACUGCUACGGCAUGGGUUGUUGCCAGUCGCGUAUCUCCAUGUCGUCGCAUGGUAUGCCCAAAAUGCUGUGGCUCGAGUGGCUUGACGAGAGCAACACAUUGGACUUAAAAACCAUGUCCUCCUAUGCGCUGAUAGCGGAGGAGGGAUGGUUCAAUCUCACAAUGCUCUCGAGUGACUCGGCAAGGAAGGUGGUUCCUAUUGUUCUACAGUGGGAGAUCUUGGAUUCAGCAUUGCCCAAAGCAGAAAACUUGAAGAGAUCAAAUUGUACGAGUUGUCCUAUGGAAGUGGCAGGCAACAUCUGCAAGAGCAAGAACAGUUACUGCAAUCUAGGGACAAGAGGCUACUCAUGCCAGUGUAGCGAUGGCUACAGCGGUAACCCGCACAUGGUCGAUGGAUGCACAGGUGGCCGCAAGUCCUUUAAAGGUACAAGUGUCAUUGUAGGAGUUGCCAGUGGGAUGGCUCUCAUACUUAUGGUUUUCGCUGGAUUAUUCAUUUUCUCCAAAUUGAAAUGUCGAAGGGCGCAAAUGUUGAAACACAAGUUCUUCGAGCAGAAUCGUGGGCAACUACUGCAACAAUUGGUGCCUCAGAGAGCUGAUAUUGCAGAAAAAAUGAUCAUAACCUUGGAAGAGCUAGAGAAGGCAACAAAUAAUUUUGAUAAAUCUCGUGAGCUUGGUGGUGGAGGGCAUGGUACUGUCUAUAAGGGGAUUUUAUCAGACCUCCAUGUUGUCGCCAUCAAGAAACCAAAGAAGGUAGUUCAAAAGGAGAUUGAUGAGUUCAUUAAUGAGGUUGCUAUACUAUCACAGAUCAAUCACCGAAAUGUCGUAAAACUCUAUGGUUGUUGUCUUGAAACUGAAGUGCCGAUGUUGAUAUAUGAGUUCAUAUCCAACGGAACCCUUUAUGACCAUCUUCAUAUUGAAGGACCAAGAUCAUUGCCAUGGGAAAAUAGGCUGCGGAUAGCAGUUGAAACAGCCAGAUCUCUCGCAUAUCUUCACUCAACAGCUUCGGUACCUAUCAUCCAUAGAGACAUCAAGUCUGUUAAUAUACUAUUGGAUGAUACUCUAACAUAAAAGGUAGCAGAUUUUGGAGCUUCAAGGUAUAUUUCUGUAGAGAAAUCGGGUUUAACAACAAUGGUGCAAGGUACAGUUGGAUAUUUAGAUCCUAUGUACUUCUACACCGGGCGGCUUACCGAGAAAAGUGAUGUUUAUAGCUUUGGAGUCAUGCUAAUAGAGUUGUUGACAAGAAAGAAGCCAUUUUCAUGUGUCUUUAGAAGGAGAUGGCCUUGUUGUACACUUUGUUUCCUUGUUUGCAAAAGGCAAUCUGUUGGAGAUACUAGAUCCACAGGUUAUGGAAGAAGGAGGAAAGGUAGUUAA